RNAcentral lists this ribosomal RNA (445 nucleotides) under uncultured bacterium. RNAcentral describes it as "partial 16S ribosomal RNA". It matches the Rfam family "Bacterial small subunit ribosomal RNA", at positions 354 to 796 of the family's 1533-position model. The record is from RNAcentral.
GUGAGGAAUAUUGGUCAAUGGGCGAGAGCCUGAACCAGCCAAGUCGCGUGAAGGAAGAAGGAUCUAUGGUUCGUAAACUUCUUUUGCAGGGGAAUAAAGUGCAGGACGUGUCCUGUUUUGUAUGUACCCUGAGAAUAAGGAUCGGCUAACUCCGUGCCAGCAGCCGCGGUAAUACGGAGGAUCCGAGCGUUAUCCGGAUUUAUUGGGUUUAAAGGGUGCGUAGGUGGUUUGAUAAGUCAGCGGUGAAAGUUUGCAGCUUAACUGUAAAAAUGCCGUUGAAGCUGUCGGACUUGAGUGUAAAUGAUGUAGGCGGAAUGCGUGGUGUAGCGGUGUAAUGCAUAGAUAUCACGCAGAACUCCGAUUGCGAAGGCAGCUUACUAAGCUACAACUGACACUGAAGCACGAAAGCGUGGGGAUCAAACAGGAUUAGAAACCCCGGUAGUCC